This is a long non-coding RNA of Poecilia reticulata (guppy), 2268 nucleotides long. RefSeq lists it as uncharacterized. Lineage: Eukaryota; Metazoa; Chordata; Actinopteri; Cyprinodontiformes; Poeciliidae. The record is from RefSeq and is a predicted model, not a curated record.
AAGUGAAUGCUUUUCUUGGCUGAUUUUAUGCUCCGUGUGUCAAUACAACUUAUGAUUCAUCAACUGGGACUUCCAUUCCCAACAGUUGGUAGCAGAGGAUGGUUUUGUGUUGACACAUGAGCGGAGAUUGGACUGGCCGUUCAGGCGCACUUUCCGAAGCAGUACCCUGGUGUAGGGCCCACACGAAAGUAGUCCCGUGGUCUGACGGGGACCGUGGGGGCUCAGGGCCGUGCGAGGAGGUGAGGAGAAAGGCCUCUGUCUUCAGCUUCAGGCCUCCGCUGUUCUUAGCCGUGCUGACAUGGACAUUUGCACUUUCUACACAUAUGAAUUGUACCAUCUUCUGCUGGACUGCUGUUUGAGGGCAAAGACCUAUUGGACGAUUCUGACAGCUUCCACAGAGGUCAGUGAGGUUGGAUUGAUUUUUCCUGUAGUCACAUGAGGACGGAUUGCAGCUUACGGGAUCUACCAUUGGAUCUCUGAGGAAACACCUGGCUAAAGGACGAGACCCAGCCGUGAUUUCUGAGGGUCUCCUAUGGCAGAAAAGACCAACGGCUUCGGCCCAACGUGAGAUGGAGGUUUGAAAGCCAGUGGUGGGAAGUAACGAAGUACAAAAUGAAGUCCAAUCCUUUCUGGGUGUGCCAGGAUGUGAGACUGUGGGCGCCUUCCAUAAUUGGUGGACCAAUUUACAGCUGAAACGCCACUGAAGCCUCGCGGGCCUGUCGGGGUUUCCCAUCAAGCUGCGCCGGCCCCAUAUCUGGACACACGCAGAAACUGAUUUGAUGUUGAUAGGUCUCGCUAUAGAGAGACUAAUAUGAUUAGAUUUUAUUACUAUUAUUACAUUUUACUUAGAAAGCAGUUUUACUUGUUUCCUCAUCAUAGUUCAUUCAUACCGGUAUAUUUUGACUGUCCUGCCUUGAUCCUGAUUUAUUGGUUUGCUGUUUAAUGCAAGUGUUCGUUGUAUGUUCUGUGUCUUUCCAUAUUCAUUACUUCUAAGCUUUUCUUGCCAUUUCAUUUCAUUUAACAUUGCAUCCUUUCUGUGGUUCAUUAACUUUUAAAUAUUACCUUAAAAUUUCAAAUAAGUUUGGUUUAUUAACGUACUAAUAGAUCGUUUUACGUAUUAUUCAUUAUUGCUUUGUUCACAUUAAAGGAUAGUAUCUUGACAUUUGUAAUUUUACAUUUUAUUAACGUUUCAGUAAUAUCUACUUUUUAUUCAUUUUACCUUUUAUUAAAUUUGGUUCCUGUUUUAGUUCUUAACUUAAAACAUAUAUUCUUCUAACAUUUUGUUGACUUUUUGCAUAUUACCUAACACUUUGUUGAUUUUGCAUUUUAGUAACUCUUACUCAUUUACAUUUUAUUCAUUUGAAAAUAUUAACCCAACACUAUUUCUUUUGGCAUUUUAUUAAGUUUUGAAAUAACAUCCUGAUCCUUCAUUCAAUUUGCAUUUCACUACAUUCUAACAAUUCCCUCAAUAUAACUUUUAACCAUUUCAUGUGUCAUUAAAUAUUACAUGUAUCUCUUUUAACUUUUAUUACUAAAGAAAAAACUGAAAACAUUUUCAGAUUUUGCUUUUUUACAGUUCUUUAACCUUCUAUGGCAUAGCGUUGCUCUGCACGACUGCAGGACGACGUUUUUUUCCCACCACAAAAAAGAAACAGUAAAUGCCAUGGAGGGUUGAAUUUCCUUUUUCCAAUCUUAACCCUAACAUUCCUUAAAAUUUUAGAUCUUUACAUAUUCUUUAUUAGAUUGUAAGGGGGACAUUGUGAUUUCGAUCCACCGCCUAAGAGGCAUAGGGGUGCCCUGGCCGUUUUUACCCCCAAAAUGAAAUGAAAUGAAAUGAAAUGAAUGAAAGACUACAUCAAUACUUGAAAUGAUGCUAUGUAUGCCAACAUUUGUAAAAGCCUCGGGGGAUGUUUUCCGGAAGGGACAGUGUCUACUCCAGGGUUUGUCUUCUCCUUUUUGGGCUCUUUUGGAGCCCAACAGGGGGAAUGUUGAGACGCUUUACCAAGGUCGAGAAAGAGUCACAUGCUGUUAGACAAAGGGCCCAUAGUAAAGAGUUACAUGUUAGAUUCUGUUAGACACUAAGGCUCAUUCCUCAGAGAACAAAAACUUAUCAGGCCACAGAGACAUGGUGUGAUUUCAGGGAGUGUCUUCAGUCCAUAUAAUCAGCUAACCUCCUUCUCCUCAGAGGCUCCACAGACUUUUUUAGAAACUCUUCUCGAAUGUAAUGGUAAAAGUGUCUCCUUUCAGCGCUGAAAGUGAAUAAAAUAA